UGUAAUAUAUAUAACACAUUAAAUAUAUCAUCCACUAUUAAUUUAUUUUUUGAAUAAUCAAUUAUGAUUGAAAAUGAAUGAUGGUAAUAGAUUAAUAAUGUAUAAAACAUUUAUACAUGCAUCUUUUCUCAUAUUUAUUUGAAUGCAUAUGGUGAGAAAUUCUAGUGAUAAAAAUUGAGAAGCUACAACAGCAACAAAUUAUGCCACCUAUACCUCUAUAAAGGUAAACAACCAGAACAGUCUCUACUAUCAUGGUCAUGAAAUCCAAACUGAUUUGACAUGCACCCAAUGCUAAACCAUGAAGGAAACAAACUAACAAUAUAAAUCAUAUAAUUAAGAUCUUCAAAUUCUUACUUCAUUUGCAAUAAAACAUAAACUAAACACACAAAUUCAAAUUCAGACUUCCAAAAACUCAAAUUUGUAUUUACCAUCUUUACAACAACACUCUACCAUUCUACAUCACAUAUAAAUGAAAGUUAAGUUCUACUAGCAUAUUAUAUAUAGCACACAUAUAUAAUAUAUGUAUUUUCUGUGUAUGACAAGAGAUAAAUAAGUUAAUGAAAAUAAAGCAUAUCUGAUUUAUAUUAUAUCUGGAUAAUGGGUUAAUUAUGGCACACAAAACCUGAAUCAAUAAGGUAGCUAGCUAUAUAUCUAUCUCUUGUUGUGUAAAGGGUUUGGUCCUGAAGGCACUUUGCGCUUUUCUGACUUGAAAUCUCUACCUCUGCUACUGAUUGGAGAAUUAGCCCAAGGAUGAAAAACUUGUUGCCUUGAAGUAGAAGGUCCUGAGAAUUUGGUGUUAAUGGCAUGAACUGUUGGAGUAAUAAGUAAUAGAAUAGUAAGGAAAAGGAGCAAGAAGUUGAAGUGUUUCAUGUUCAUAGUUUGAAACAAUAAUAAUAAUGCUUGUAAGAGACAAGGGUGAAAAUGAAAUAUUGGUUUACUAGCCUUGUUAUUAUGUGUAUAUUUAUAUAAUAUAAUGAAAUUAUG
This 984-nucleotide long non-coding RNA is filed under the name Lupinus angustifolius (narrow-leaved blue lupine). RNAcentral's name for it is "long non-coding RNA (LANG_LNC000373)". Lineage: Eukaryota; Viridiplantae; Streptophyta; Magnoliopsida; Fabales; Fabaceae. The record is from RNAcentral.